Molecule: non-coding RNA, 1010 nt
Organism: Linepithema humile (Argentine ant)
Lineage: Eukaryota; Metazoa; Arthropoda; Insecta; Hymenoptera; Formicidae
Source: RefSeq, a predicted model, not a curated record
AUUAAUUCUCGGAGAGAAGUUGUAAAUAUUUCUCGGAGAAUGUGCUUCUGGAACUUCUCGCCAACAAUUCGCACGAAUCUAUCUAUAUUUAUAACUGUGGAUUGCGACUGAAUUUCGACUAAGCAUGAAAAAUCGCUCGUUUACAUGCUACGCUAUUACGAGCUUGUAUAAAACUGCUAAAUGGCUUUUCUCUAGCCAAAAAACUAUUAAUAGUCAGCUGCUGACUGAUGAUUACGUUAAUAGGAAAUUGUGGAGUAAAUCUAGUUAGUGUUCAACAGCCUAUAAUCCUAGCUUACCCUUAAACGGAAAGGAUCGAGUACGAGGGGUGGCUCGUGAAUAUGAAAUUGCGUGAAAUGAUCGACCUCGUCUGCAAUUUAUGAGUCAUCGAUAAACGGGCUUAUUAACUCUCGAGAUCCUUCGAGGCCACUUGAGUUUUUAUUUGAUUAUGUGUGACCUAGUUUCUCACGAGUGAUAUAUAACUCACAAUCAGUGUUAUGUGUAUUAAACAUUGAUUACUGGUAUAUUGUCGUCAGUUUCCUGCGAGAUUGCGUGCGAGGUAAAUAAGGUCGGGAAUUAUAAGAUGACGAACUCCAGAAGCCCGAUAAUUGUAUAUUAGGAUCUACGUUAAAGCUUUAAGGCUGAUUGCAUCGACAUGAAUUAAUGUUAAUUGAAUUCUAAUUCAAAUCUUCUACGUCGCCGCUUAGUUCAGAUAACAUUAACAAAAAUAAUACCGAAAUCAUAAGCUUGAAAGAAAGAACGGAUUAAAGGGCGGCUUGUGCUCCAUUAAUCAACGCAAUCAUUUCGCGACUCGGCGCGAAAAGUGUGUCAAGUUUGCGGGUAAGAUAACCCGCUGCUGUCUUCGGUAUCAGCGUAAGCAGCGUCCUUGACACGAUAUUCGGAUGUAGAGCAACUUCCAAUCAAGUUCGUCGCCAGCGCGGAAGAAAUAGGAAGAAGCGAGGAUGAAAACUGCACAUAUCGUGGAUCAAUUUGCCUCGCGGACUAUACAUAUA